GACGAACGCUGGCGGCGUGCUUAACUCAUGCAAGUCGAACGGAAAGGCCCUGCUUUUGUGGGGUGCUCGAGUGGCGAACGGGUGAGUAACACGUGAGUAACCUGCCCUUGACUUUGGGAUAACUUCAGGAAACUGGGGCUAAUACCGGAUAGGAGCUCCUGCUGCAUGGUGGGGGUUGGAAAGUUUCGGCGGUUGGGGAUGGACUCGCGGCUUAUCAGCUUGUUGGUGGGGUAGUGGCUUACCAAGGCUUUGACGGGUAGCCGGCCUGAGAGGGUGACCGGCCACAUUGGUACUGAGAUACGGCCCAGAAUCCUACGGGAGGCAGCAGUGGGGAAUAUUGCACAAUGGGCGGAAGCCUGAUGCAGCAACGCCGCGUGCGGGAUGACGGCCUUCGGGUUGUAAACCGCUUUCGCCUGUGACGAAGCGUGAGUGACGGUAAUGGGUAAAGAAGCACCGGCUAACUACGUG
This 468-nucleotide ribosomal RNA is filed under the name uncultured bacterium. Its description in RNAcentral is "partial 16S ribosomal RNA". It matches the Rfam family "Bacterial small subunit ribosomal RNA", at positions 28 to 507 of the family's 1533-position model. The record is from RNAcentral.